This 970-nucleotide unclassified non-coding RNA is filed under the name Leishmania donovani. Its description in RNAcentral is "gene:unknown". Lineage: Eukaryota; Euglenozoa; Kinetoplastea; Trypanosomatida; Trypanosomatidae. The record is from RNAcentral.
GGAAAGAGGCGCUCAUCCUGCCUGCACGCGAUGCUGCCGUACUCGCUUAUUUCUUAUCUUCAUGAUAAGUGGUGCUGCCUCCUGUUUUCUGCUAAUGUAUGUGCGGAGGCGCCUCUCCCGCGCUCUCUCUCAACGUCUUCUUCUCCAUCUUCACGUGGUGCGUGCGUGCGCGCGCUUGCCUGUGCGUGUGCCACUGCGAAUACGACCAGAUGAUAAAGGUGUGCUACGGCCGCCACUCAUGCUUAUCCUUACUGCUGCUGCCUCCAACCCUUCCCCCUCCCAACCAUCCGCAUGAAGACCCCUCCUUCACCGCGUGCUCAUGCCUCACCAAAACGGCAGCGUUUUCUUGGUUUUCGUAUUAUGCUAAGAUAGAGGGCGGGGAAGGGGAUCAGAAGUGUAAAGUGCAGCGCCUGCCAUACAGCAGCGAAACGAGCGCUGCCGAGUGGCCUGCGCUUUACGUCCCCCGCCUAGUGUUGGAAAUCCGUCUCCGUGGACUCUGGUCUUCAUGGCUGCCUGCAACAACGCUCCGUCCAACGCUGCGUGCCGCAUGACAGCAACCCCUCAAAACGUGAAUGUUACUAAGAAGGGGCAGCGGACGAGGGUCGAAAGAUGCCGGGGCGUCGUCGCGAGAUUUUUCAAGACGUGGUCCGACCUUUCGUGAGGCAUCUCACUGCCGAUGUGUCGCGCUGCUUAGAUUCUUCACUGUCCCUCUCCCCCUCCCCCUUUGGCGCAGUGGCAAGUGAGGUGAGCGCAGCUAUCCCUCCGUAUGGGAAGCGCCUUUCCCCCUUUCCCUUUCCCUCCCCCCUGCAUGAGGCGUGAAACAGCCCAGUGUCAGGUCGGCACUUGAUCGACAGGCAUGCACGCGCAAACUUGUGCUGUCAUCUCUUCUACUCUUCUAUCCCCUCUGUUGCUCGCCGCCCUCUCUGCAACCAUCAUUUCUCCAGCCCCCCCCCCCCCCCCCCCGCCCCAG